RNAcentral lists this ribosomal RNA (1363 nucleotides) under Metarhizium anisopliae. Its description in RNAcentral is "eukaryotic LSU rRNA". The stretch from base 459 to 1363 matches the Rfam family "Eukaryotic large subunit ribosomal RNA", at positions 1 to 929 of the family's 3401-position model. The record is from RNAcentral. Lineage: Eukaryota; Fungi; Ascomycota; Sordariomycetes; Hypocreales; Clavicipitaceae.
CCAACCCCUGUGAAUUAUACCUUUAAUUGUUGCUUCGGCGGGACUUCGCGCCCGCCGGGGACCCAAACCUUCUGAAUUUUUUAAUAAGUAUCUUCUGAGUGGUUUAAAAAAAAAAUGAAUCAAAACUUUCAACAACGGAUCUCUUGGUUCUGGCAUCGAUGAAGAACGCAGCGAAAUGCGAUAAGUAAUGUGAAUUGCAGAAUUCAGUGAAUCAUCGAAUCUUUGAACGCACAUUGCGCCCGUCAGUAUUCUGGCGGGCAUGCCUGUUCGAGCGUCAUUACGCCCCUCAAGUCCCCUGUGGACUUGGUGUUGGGGAUCGGCGAGGCUGGUUUUCCAGCACAGCCGUCCCUUAAAUUAAUUGGCGGUCUCGCCGUGGCCCUCCUCUGCGCAGUAGUAAAGCACUCGCAACAGGAGCCCGGCGCGGUCCACUGCCGUAAAACCCCCCAACUUUUUAUAGUUGACCUCGAAUCAGGUAGGACUACCCGCUGAACUUAAGCAUAUCAAUAAGCGGAGGAAAAGAAACCAACAGGGAUUGCCCCAGUAACGGCGAGUGAAGCGGCAACAGCUCAAAUUUGAAAUCUGGUCCCCAGGGCCCGAGUUGUAAUUUGCAGAGGAUGCUUUUGGUGAGGUGCCUUCCGAGUUCCCUGGAACGGGACGCCAUAGAGGGUGAGAGCCCCGUCUGGUUGGAUACCGAGCCUCUGUAAAGCUCCUUCGACGAGUCGAGUAGUUUGGGAAUGCUGCUCUAAAUGGGAGGUAUAUGUCUUCUAAAGCUAAAUAUUGGCCAGAGACCGAUAGCGCACAAGUAGAGUGAUCGAAAGAUGAAAAGCACUUUGAAAAGAGGGUUAAAUAGUACGUGAAAUUGUUGAAAGGGAAGCACUUAUGACCAGACUUGGCCCCGGUGAAUCAUCCAGCGGUUCCCGCUGGUGCACUUUGCCGGGGUUCAGGCCAGCAUCAGUUCGCUCCGGGGGAUAAAGGCUUUGGGAAUGUGGCUCCCUCGGGAGUGUUAUAGCCCAUUGCGUAAUACCCUGUGGCGGGCUGAGGUUCGCGCUUUAUGCAAGGAUGCUGGCAUAAUGGUCAUCAGUGACCCGUCUUGAAACACGGACCAAGGAGUCGUCUUCGUAUGCGAGUGUUCGGGUGUUAAACCCCUACGCGUAAUGAAAGUGAACGCAGGUGAGAGCCCUCCAGGGCGCAUCAUCGACCGAUCCUGAUGUUCUCGGAUGGAUUUGAGUAAGAGCAUACGGGGCCGGACCCGAAAGAAGGUGAACUAUGCCUGUAUAGGGUGAAGCCAGAGGAAACUCUGGUGGAGGCUCGCAGCGGUUCUGACGUGCAAAUCGAUCGUCAAAUAUGGGCAUGGGGGCGAAAG